RNAcentral lists this ribosomal RNA (447 nucleotides) under uncultured bacterium. Its description in RNAcentral is "partial 16S ribosomal RNA". It matches the Rfam family "Bacterial small subunit ribosomal RNA", at positions 28 to 523 of the family's 1533-position model. The record is from RNAcentral.
GACGAACGCUGGCGGCAGGCUUAACACAUGCAAGUCGAGCGCGUAGCAAUACGAGCGGCAGACGGGUGAGUAACGCGUGGGAACGUGCCUUUUGGUUCGGAACAACUGAGGGAAACUUCAGCUAAUACCGGAUAAGCCCCGAGGGGGAAAGAUUUAUCGCCAAAAGAUCGGCCCGCGUCAGAUUAGGUAGUUGGUGGGGUAAUGGCCUACCAAGCCGACGAUCUGUAGGUGGUCUGAGAGGAUGAUCACCCACACUGGGACUGAGGCACGGCCCAGACUCCUACGGGAGGCAGCAGUGGGGAAUAUUGGACAAUGGGCGCAAGCCUGAUCCAGCCAUGCCGCGUGGAUGAAGAAGGCCAUAGGGUUGUAAAGUCCUUUCGACGGAGACGAUAAUGACGGUAUCCGUAGAAGAAGCCCCGGCUAAUUUCGUGCCAGCCGCCGCGGUAA